GUUGCGCGGCGGCGCUGGUGUCUGAGGCGGUGGCUCCGCUCUUCCGCCGCUCGGCACCCCGGCCCCGCCGAAACCGGAGAGCUGUCAUUCUUUCAUCUGCCUUUGUGCUGAAGAAGGUGGUGUGAACACUCUGACCAGGAGGAAUCAUAACCAGGAUCCCCAGCAGCAAGCACACCCUGCGAGGCAGUAGCUGGAACUGCUUCACUGCAGUAAGGAGUAUUCUCGUGUGCUGGGGCCUGGAGCCAAUGGCAGACAAUGUCAACAACUAACAACAUAGCGCAAGCCCGCAAGCUGGUGGAGCAGCUCCGCAUCGAAGCUGGCAUCGAGAGGAUCAAGGUCAACAUUUACAAAGAAGAAGGGAAAAAAACCCAAAACCCAUGAUUGAGGGGUGGGGGGAGUAUUUUUAAUAGCGACAUUUAUAAUUGGUAGUGGGGUGGUGGAGGCAGCAGGGGUUCUUAUUGCAUCUGCCAAUGCAAGAUCUAAGUAGUGGGACCUCCCCAUAGAAGCUUUGAACAAAGCUCUGAGUGGGUCUCAUCCAAUUAGUUUCUAAUUAGCACAUUGUUGCAAGAAUUUGCUCUGUUCCUUGAGGAGGGAACAAGGGAGAAGAGUCCAGGGGGGGAGUUAUUUUGUAGAAAGCUAGGACAAAAAAGGAAAACAAAACAAACCAACCAAACCAACCAAAACACAGCUUGGAAAACUGCUGUUGCAAAUGGGUAAACUGAGGCUGGGGGGAGGAGGAGGAGGAUGGAGGCCAGGAGGCUCCCUCCUUGUGCCGCACGGCUCUGCUUGGAGGAGGGGAUGGUACCACAGGAAAACGCUCUAUAGUGUCAUGUCUAUUGGCCAAGAGUUUCCAUGAGCAAUGUUAGGAAGCCUGAGGCAUGGGAGAGGCCGGGCUUGAGCUGCUCUGAUUGCUUCUGAGGUUUCUCUGUGCUGUUAUCACUGGUUUUCCCAAAUGGGACUGUACCGGGGAGGGGUGGGAGGGGAGCUUUCAGUUGUGCCAUAUCACAUGAAAAAUCUUUUUAAGUUUGCCUUUUGGUGAGUCUUCGUUCAAAACACUAAAUUUGACAGAUCUACGAGCAUUCUCCAUCUCCCUUUCUCUUACCAAGAGCGGCAAAUGGAAUUUGUUCCACGGAACCCAGUUAAUUCAGGGAGAUGAGGGUAAGGCUGUAGAAGAAAUAAGUUCUUUUCCCAUCCCUUGGAAAUCUUGAAAUGCCAUUUCAACGGGAGCGCUCUGUUCACCAAUGUUAAACGUUGCAGCGCCAGGGAGAACGUGGUAUGGAGCAGCUGUGAGGAAGAGGGGACAAGCAGGCGAGCCUUCCUCCCACUGCCCACCACAGAGCCCUGAUGGCAACAGAGCCCAGCGGCUCCGUGCUGGGACAGGCGGAUGCUCAGGAGGAAAUAUCAGAGCUCAGGGAAGUCCCACUGUGUUUUCCCCUUGUCGCUGGAGCUGCUACCCCACGGUAGGCAGAGGCAUGGUUCUAUUUCCUAACCAGCAUGCUCGUACUCGUUCCCAGUUAUCCUGAACACAGGCACCCCGUGCCGGGGUCUGAAUACAGGCGAUGAUGAGUUUCAGUUUUGGGAAGAGAGGGAGAAAAGAAAACAAAACAACACACCUGAUGUGAAAUCUUGGCAUUUUUCCCAUUCCCUCAAUGCUUUGGAUUUGGUUUGAAAUGCCCCGACCUCCCACUGGGAUGGAAACCACAGGCGGCUGAUCCCUUCAUGGGACAGGGAGUGCUUCCUGUGGCUGUGGCUGCUGGGAGCCCUUGGGAGGGGGAGCCUGGAGGAGACUCUGGUCUCCUUUUGGUGUUAAGCCAUGUUCACACUUUCUGUUGUGAUUCAGUUGGAGGGAGGAAACCUCGCAGCACAUAUUGCAUAAUGCUUAGGCUGGUCAGACUUCAUGGUCCAGGCAGGGUACUGGGAGGCUUUGCUGGCUGCUUUUCAGAGGCUGAUGGUGUUCCAAUGCCAGAGGCCGGCUCGAAGGCAGGGAUUGGAGCAGAGCCUGCAGUUAUGUGGCUGGUACCCAGGGAGGGUGGGUCGUCAUCAGGAAGAAGGGCAGCUUCAGAGGUUCUUCCUCCGGUGACGCAGAGGUGGGCUGUGGAGUAUUGGCUGAGUGCAGCUGGCACCUCUCCAGUACCAACCAGCCAUGCAGCCAGCUCGGCAGCGUUGGUGGAGGCUGUGGUUAGCAGAGCUGCUUCAUUUACACUUCUUGGUUGCAGGUAUCUUUCCAUCCCUUUCUUUAAGUCACUUGCCUUUUUAAACGAAGUUGGAAACCCCCCACACACGCAUUUUUAACACUAACACAAACCUUGGCACCUCCUGUGUACGUCUUGCAACUGCUUUCCUGGGGUCCUUUGCUGAUCUGAGCGUUUUACACCUCCUGUCUCCCCCCACCCCGCUGUGCCAUGGGCUCCUGUCCUGGCACCAGCCUUGUGACAGGUUGCUUGUGAUCCCCUGGAUUUCACUCUGUCCCUGUGUGAGUGCUGGGGGGAGGCAGAGCAGAGGGAAGUGGAUUUAUUUCCCUCUGCAGCUGAGCAUGUCCCCCAAGCCCUACUUGCACCCCAGCCUGACACCACGCUGAGCAUCGUCUGGCAGCCAAGGGCAGCAGCCCUGGCACAGCAACAGGCGAUGUCUUUUUGGUUUUGUUGUUUAUUUUUCUUUUAAAUCUUUCAUCCAACAUAAGCUCUCAAAUGCCGCAUCUGUAGCGGGGAGCGAGCACAGUCCUGAGGUGCGCCUGGGUUUUGCCGCAGCAGGGCUUUCUCUUCUCCAUGAGGGAACUUCCUCUGUCCUUAAUCUAGUACAGUUCCAGCCUUAUUUUUCUACUCCAGAUUGCUGAUUCUUCCUCUAUGUUAGAGACCUGUGCAUGGUGCUAUAGCCGGUGACCCAGGCAAGUGCCCGAGCUGCAGGUCAGCCAGAAAUACCUGCGCUCUGUGCGGCAGCAAGUGACUGAGGUUACCGCAGGAGCCAUACACCGCUCCUCCGCUUGAGACCUGGGCAGGGACUGUUGUCCCCCCCAUCCAUCACUGUCUCAUGCUGCCGGGGCUGCCAGUGGGUGCUGGUGUCUCUCAGUGGGUGACUCGUUCAGUGGAAAAAUCCUCAAGUUUGUGGGUUUUCUUUGGGGUUUUUUUUAUUUUUUUUUUUUUAGUUUUUUUUUUUAGUUUUUUCCUUGUCUGAGUAAAUCAGUGCUCAUACUGUAGAUGUUUUUGUAUAGCAUAAAUAUAAGUGCAAAUUACAGUAGUUGCUUGUACUUUGUUAGUGCAUUUGCUGGGGGGAAAAAAACAAAACAAAACAAAAAAAAAAGACACUUUUCAGGACUUUUUAAGUGCUCCAGAUGGCAAAGGGCGAGUGGGGACCCCUGAUGAGGCAUGGGCAGGCAGUGCCAGCAGCCCCGGCCUCACAAAGGCCUUGGUUUUGGAUGUAAACACAUGCCCAAAUCUGCCUGGCAUUUCUUUUUAGCAUGUGGCGAAGCUGUUGCCAAAAGUAGAAAGGAGAGAGACUGCAAAAGAAAAAGGGAGAAGAGGAAACAUUGCUCCUAUUUAAUUUGUUGGUCCUUUUUCCUUGUCUUCCCCUCCCUGUCUCCGGGACCAUCCCAGUGGUGCAGCCAGAGCUGGGAGACGCCUGGCACCCGCAUGACACCGGCUGAUGGCUCAGUGCCGGAGCCUCCGGAGCCUGGAGCCAAUUCCCCUUCCUCCGAGUACUUAAAAAGUCAACUUUAACAAAGUCAAACUAAUGUAUUUACUUCAUUGAACAGAAGCCACGUGUCUGAUACUUUUGCGCUCUUAAUUUCUUCUCUCUGGCCUAUUAUAAUUAGUAGUAUUAUUUGCCAAACUCUGAUCUUGUUGCCAAACACAAAUCAAGGUUUGUAAAGACUGUAUUUAGGAAGUAAUUGGUGUCUGUAAUGUAGGCUCCUCAUAACGUCUGCAUUUUUGGAUCUCUUUGAUUUUUAUUUCUGGUGUGCCAUAGACCAAUUUCUUGCCCAGUGUUUAAUAUUUUGUGGAAUUGUUGUUAAGAAGUGAAAUUGAUAAUACAAUAAAAAGGCUCACUUUUCAUUUUG
Strigops habroptila (Kakapo) is the source of this 4051-nucleotide long non-coding RNA. Ensembl annotates it as G protein subunit gamma 7. Lineage: Eukaryota; Metazoa; Chordata; Aves; Psittaciformes; Psittacidae. The record is from Ensembl.